AAUCAACGCUGGCGGCGUGCCUCAGACAUGCAAGUCGAACGAGAAAGUUUCCUUCGGGAGACGAGUACAGUGGCGUCCGGGUGAGUAACACGUGGGUAAUUUACCUUUGGGUGGGAGUAGCAGCCGGAACGGACGUAUUAAUACCGCAUAAUGCAGCGGCUCGACAUCGAGACAGUUGUUAAAGUACGGGGAGUCUGACAAGG
Molecule: ribosomal RNA, 203 nt
Filed under: uncultured bacterium
Lineage: Bacteria
Description: partial 16S ribosomal RNA
Rfam family: Bacterial small subunit ribosomal RNA
Source: RNAcentral